GACGAAGGAUCCAAGCGUUAUCCGGAUUUAUUGGGUUUAAAGGGUGCGUAGGCGGACUCGUAAGUCAGUGGUGAAAGCCCGAUGCUUAACAUCGGAACUGCCAUUGAUACUGCAAGUCUUGAAUAUGUUUGAAGUGGGCGGAAUGUGUCGUGUAGCGGUGAAAUGCUUAGAUAUGACACAGAACACCGAUUGCGAAGGCAGCUCACUAAACCAUUAUUGACGCUGAGGCACGAAAGCGUGGGGAGCAAACAGG
Molecule: ribosomal RNA, 253 nt
Filed under: uncultured prokaryote
Description: partial 16S ribosomal RNA
Rfam family: Bacterial small subunit ribosomal RNA
Source: RNAcentral